Molecule: unclassified non-coding RNA, 467 nt
Filed under: Hevea brasiliensis (rubber tree)
Lineage: Eukaryota; Viridiplantae; Streptophyta; Magnoliopsida; Malpighiales; Euphorbiaceae
Source: RNAcentral
AUGCAUUACUUUGAUCUUCUUAUAAGACUAAAAACCGAGCAAGAACAUCUGUUCCGGAACAUCCAGAGAAAUGAGUAUCACAAUCUUUUUGACUUCAUCAGUGGGAAGGGUCUGAAGAUUAUGAACCUGGGUGAUAUGCAAACCACAAAUGGAGUGGCUGCUCUCCAGAAUGAAGACGAUGAUGCUGUUGACCCACAUCUUGAGCGCAUUAGGAAUGAAGCUGGAGAUGAGAGUGAUGAAGAGGAUGAAGAUUUUGUUGCUGACAAGGAUGAUGAAGGCUCUCCUACUGAUGAUUCUGGGGAGGAAGAAUCUGAUGCUAGUGAAAGUGGAGAUGAGAAAAAGAAGCCUAUGAAAAAGGAAUCUAAAAAGGAGCCCUCAUCUUCUAAGGGUGCAUCGAAGAAGAGAUCCAAAGAGGGAAAUGAGGAUGCAUCUAAGAAGAAAAAACAAAAGAAGAAGAAGGAUCCAAA